UAACAAUAAACGACUCUCGGCAACGGAUAUCUCGGCUCUCGCAUCGAUGAAGAACGUAGCGAACUGCGAUACUUGGUGUGAAUUGCAGAAUCCCGUGAACCAUCGAGUCUUUGAACGCAAGUUGCGCCCGAAGCCAUCAGGCCAAGGGCACGUCUGCC
This 158-nucleotide ribosomal RNA is filed under the name Blackstonia perfoliata. RNAcentral's name for it is "5.8S ribosomal RNA". It matches the Rfam family "5.8S ribosomal RNA". From Rfam's summary of the family: 5.8S ribosomal RNA (5.8S rRNA) is a component of the large subunit of the eukaryotic ribosome. The record is from RNAcentral. Lineage: Eukaryota; Viridiplantae; Streptophyta; Magnoliopsida; Gentianales; Gentianaceae.